CAACGGUGAAACUCAAAGGAAUUGACGGGGGCCCGCACAAGCGGAGGAACAUGUGGUUUAAUUCGAUGAUACGCGAGGAACCUUACCCGGGCUCAAACCGUCAGGGAUCCCCUCUGAAAGGAGGGGAGUCAGCAAUGACCUGGCGCGAGGUGCUGCAUGGUUGUCGUCAGCUCGUGCCGUGAGGUGUCGGCUUAAGUGCCAUAACGAGCGCAACCCCUACCGACAGUUGCUAACUGGUGAAGCAGAGGACUCUGUCGGGACUGCCGGCGCAAGCUGCGAGGAAGGCGGGGAUGACGUCAAAUCAGCACGGCCCUUACGUCCGGGGCGACACACGUGUUACAAUGGCAGGUACAGCGGGAAGCCACCGGGCGACCGGGCGCGGAACCCGAAAAUCUGUCUCAGUUCGGAUCGGAGUUUGCAACCCGACUCCGUGAAGCUGGAUUCGCUAGUAAUCGCGCAUCAGCCACGGCGCGGUGAAUACGUUCCCGGGCCUUGUACACACCGCCCGUCAAGCCAUGGGAG
This 522-nucleotide ribosomal RNA is filed under the name uncultured Bacteroidota bacterium. RNAcentral's name for it is "bacterial SSU rRNA". It matches the Rfam family "Bacterial small subunit ribosomal RNA", at positions 889 to 1410 of the family's 1533-position model. The record is from RNAcentral. Lineage: Bacteria; Pseudomonadati; Bacteroidota.